AAGGAAAAUAUUGGAAGCAAAGAAUGACGAGAGGAGCAGUAAUGGGCAGAUUGAAUAAAUUGUCAGGGUGAGAAUCACAGUGCAGUUCUCCUCUGGCAUGGAGGGCAAGAGGAGCUGAAUAGCUAAUGGAUGAUAAACUGCUAGCCUUUCCCUGCCAAAGGAGAGCUGCCCUGCCAUUCAGUGACCCUGAAUUCAGCAUGCGAGCUUCAAGCUGUGUGUUCUGUUUUCAGUAGAAUGUUGUGAAGCACACUGCAUGAGGUAUGUGAUCAUGACUCUGUUUUUCAUAUUCUUUGAGCAUCAUCCAUGGGUGAGGCCAUAACAACCUCCUGUUUUAAUAGUUUAUAGUUCAUGAAACUAAUAG
This 361-nucleotide small RNA is filed under the name Oryza sativa Japonica Group (Japanese rice). RNAcentral describes it as "sRNA Os02g0235050". The stretch from base 68 to 183 matches the Rfam family "mir-399 microRNA precursor family". The record is from RNAcentral. Lineage: Eukaryota; Viridiplantae; Streptophyta; Magnoliopsida; Poales; Poaceae.